UGGGGAAUAUUGGACAAUGGGGGCAACCCUGAUCCAGCAAUGCCGCGUGAGUGAUGAAGGCCCUAGGGUUGUAAAGCUCUUUCGCACGCGACGAUGAUGACGGUAGCGUGAGAAGAAGCCCCGGCUAACUUCGUGCCAGCAGCCGCGGUAAUACGAAGGGGGCUAGCGUUGUUCGGAAUUACUGGGCGUAAAGGGCGCGCAGGCGGUCUUCCAAGUCAGAUGUGAAAGCCCCGGGCUCAACCUGGGAACUGCAUUUGAGACUGGAGGACUUGAGUUCGGGAGAGGAGAGCGGAAUUCCCAGUGUAGAGGUGAAAUUCGUAGAUAUUGGGAAGAACACCGGUGGCGAAGGCGGCUCUCUGGACCGAUACUGACGCUGAGGCGCGAAAGCGUGGGGAGCAAACAG
This 403-nucleotide ribosomal RNA is filed under the name uncultured bacterium. RNAcentral's name for it is "bacterial SSU rRNA". It matches the Rfam family "Bacterial small subunit ribosomal RNA", at positions 355 to 775 of the family's 1533-position model. The record is from RNAcentral.